UGGCCUCUGUGCACGCAAGCUUGAGGUAGCAAGUUCGACUCCUUCAAAAGGAAGAUUUGUACCGCUAGGGAAGUGCCAGAAGAAAAGAACAAGGAAGAUUUGCUAGCAGGACAAAAGCACGGUAAACUUGGGAAAAAAAAGGUCCAGAAGAAAAGAACAAAGAAGAGCUGCUUGAAGGAGUCGAACUUGCUACCUCAAGCUUGCGUGCACAUAGGCCA
This 218-nucleotide microRNA precursor is filed under the name Oryza glumipatula. Its description in RNAcentral is "pre miRNA MIR444". The record is from RNAcentral. Lineage: Eukaryota; Viridiplantae; Streptophyta; Magnoliopsida; Poales; Poaceae.